GACGAACGCUGGCGGCGUGCUUAACUCAUGCAAGUCGAGCGAUGAAGCUCCUUCGGGAGCGGAUUAGCGGCGGACGGGUGAGUAACACGUGGGCAACCUGCCUUAUAGAGAGGAAUAGCCAUUCGAAAGGAUGAUUAAUACCUCAUAAUAUUGUAGCUUCGCAUGGAGCAACAAUCAAAGGAGCAAUCCACUAUAAGAUGGGCCCGCGGCGCAUUAGCUAGUUGGUGAGGUAACGGCUCACCAAGGCGACGAUGCGUAGCCGACCUGAGAGGGUGAUCGGCCACAUUGGGACUGAGAAACGGCCCAGACUCCUACGGGAGGCAGCAGUGGGGAAUAUUGCACAAUGGGGGAAACCCUGAUGCAGCAAAGCCGCGUGAGUGAUGACGGCCUUCGGGUUGUAAAGCUCUGUCUUCAGGGACGAUAAUGACGGUACCUGAGGAGGAAGCCACGGCUAACUACGUGCCAGCCGCCGCGGUAA
This 478-nucleotide ribosomal RNA is filed under the name uncultured bacterium. Its description in RNAcentral is "partial 16S ribosomal RNA". It matches the Rfam family "Bacterial small subunit ribosomal RNA", at positions 28 to 523 of the family's 1533-position model. The record is from RNAcentral.